This 404-nucleotide ribosomal RNA is filed under the name uncultured bacterium. RNAcentral's name for it is "bacterial SSU rRNA". It matches the Rfam family "Bacterial small subunit ribosomal RNA", at positions 29 to 416 of the family's 1533-position model. The record is from RNAcentral.
AACGAACGCUGGCGGCGUGCCUAACACAUGCAAGUCGUGCGAGAAAGUUCCUUCGGGAGCGAGUAAAGCGGCGCACGGGUGAGUAACACGUAGGUAACCUGCCCCCCAGUCUGGAACAACUAGAGGAAACUCUAGCUAAUGCCGGAUGAGACCACGAUCCCUUCGGGGGUUGCGGCCAAAGAUGGCCUCUACUUGUAAGCUAUCGCUGAGGGAUGGGCCUGCGGGCCAUUAGCUUGUUGGUGAGGUAACGGCUCACCAAGGCUGUGAUGGCUAGCUGGUCUGAGAGGAUGACCAGCCACACUGGGACUGAGACACGGCCCAGACUCCUACGGGAGGCAGCAGUGGGGAAUAUUGCGCAAUGGGCGAAAGCCUGACGCAGCGACGCCGCGUGUGGGAUGACGGCC